RNAcentral lists this transfer RNA (69 nucleotides) under Rattus norvegicus (Norway rat). It matches the Rfam family "tRNA". Rfam says of the family: Transfer RNA (tRNA) molecules are approximately 80 nucleotides in length. The record is from Rfam by way of RNAcentral. Lineage: Eukaryota; Metazoa; Chordata; Mammalia; Rodentia; Muridae.
GGGGAUUUAGCUCAGUGGUAGAGCACUUGCCUUGCAAGGGCAAGGCCCUGGGUUCGUUCCCCAGCUCUG